RNAcentral lists this ribosomal RNA (471 nucleotides) under uncultured bacterium. Its description in RNAcentral is "bacterial SSU rRNA". It matches the Rfam family "Bacterial small subunit ribosomal RNA", at positions 30 to 496 of the family's 1533-position model. The record is from RNAcentral.
AUUGAACGCUGGCGGCAGGCCUAACACAUGCAAGUCGAGCGGUAGAGAGGUGCUUGCAUCUCUUGAGAGCGGCGGACGGGUGAGUAAUGCCUAGGAAUCUGCCUAGUGGUGGGGGAUAACGUUCGGAAACGGACGCUAAUACCGCAUACGUCCUACGGGAGAAAGCGGGGGAUCUUCGGACCUCGCGCCAUUAGAUGAGCCUAGGUCGGAUUAGCUAGUUGGUGAGGUAAUGGCUCACCAAGGCGACGAUCCGUAACUGGUCUGAGAGGAUGAUCAGUCACACUGGAACUGAGACACGGUCCAGACUCCUACGGGAGGCAGCAGUGGGGAAUAUUGGACAAUGGGCGAAAGCCUGAUCCAGCCAUGCCGCGUGUGUGAAGAAGGUCUUCGGAUUGUAAAGCACUUUAAGUUGGGAGGAAGGUAGUAACUAAUACGUUGCUACUUUGACGUUACCGACAGAAUAAGCACCGG